GAGUGCUGGGUCGGGCUUCCAGCUCCCUACAACGCAGACCAGUACUGGAGUUCGUGGUGCUGGAAGACCGCCGCCCGACUCUGGGCCCCGGGUAGGAAACAACAAUUUCGGACCUCCUGGGGUCUAUGCUAGGUAUGAGGUGUAUCUUUGCCCUCCAUCAAGUAGCAAAGAUGGACAUGUAAACAAAUUUCGACACUGUGAUGACUGCCACAAAAAGCAGCAUUAUGAGGUUGAAUGUAAAAGGAUAACCUUAGCGGCGGCGGGGGCCGGAGGAUGAAGGAAGGCUUCCUGAGGUAGGCGCUGGUUGAAACUGAAGUUGGAGAGAGCAAGUGGCAUUUGCUGAAGUGCAUUUCCGGUAGAAAACUCCAGUGGUCCCUCACCUGACUGAGUGGCGCAGUCAGAGAUAAAUGGAACAGGUACACUGACCAGAAAGGGCAAGAUGGGCUAAACUUCGCCGUUGGGCCACUGGGCUCCCCCGCAGGAUUUUAAAGAGCUAGCCAGUAGAUGGAUUUUGUUUUUGUUAUUUUCGCAAUUUAUUUUCAAAUAUGUAAUACGCGAACUUGGUACAACAUUCAUGUGAUAAAAAGGUAGAUACGUGGGCAGGACGCGGUGGCUCACGCCUGUAAUCCCAGCAUUUUGGGAGGCCGAGAUGGGCGGAUCAUUUGCUGUCAGGAGUUCGAGACCAGCCUGGCCAACAUGAGUCUACAAAUAAACAUUUUAUAAAGAUGAUCCUUCAAUACAUAUUCUACAGCCCAGUUAAAAUGUGAGAGGCCAUGAUCUACAGACAGCCAUUUAUAAAGGUGGAUCAGGGCCGGACACGGUGGCUCAACGUCUGUAAUCCCGGCACUGUGGGAGGCCAAAGCGGGAGGAUCGCUUGAGCCCAGGAGUUCGAGACCAACCUGGCCAACAUGCUUUAUGUGAUUGACACAGACAUGGAAGAGAUCUGGUCCUUAUGAAGAAUUCUGUGCUCGCAGGAAAGAUCUGUAGGAAUAAUGAAAUGCUUUCUUCAUUGAUGAGAUGAAGUCUCUGUUUUUCAGGCAAGUUGACAGAACAAAACAAUGAGAAACGAACUUCUUUAGAAGGUUGAAUGAAAGUAAGAUCUAGAUGAAAAAGUCAUUGGCCAAAGAUAAUUUUUUAAAAAAAACAUUCUAUGUUAACCCUUGGAAAAAAAAACAAAAAACAACCCAGAGAAAUACAAGAAAACAAUGUACACAUUCAUUUCACUGACAGUUACAAGAAAAUAGCCGUUUAUAGAAGUUACACAAUGCUUUCAACAAAUCCCAAACAAAUUUUGGGAAACAGAUAAAGCCAUUGGGUAAAAAUAAAUAUACAUACUAGCUAAUAUAAAACAAUUUAUGGUUACGAAUUGUCAUCAAUUCUCUUAGGACACAAGGAGAAAUAUGGUGAUAUAAAUCUGAUGAGGGCUACAUAUAUUACAUGGAAUUAAAAAACAACUGAUUAAAACAUCCUAACAAUGAUACAAAUAUUUAAAAGAAUGUCUUAAAAGUCAGACAUUUACCACUGGAAAUAGCACGACUUUAAUAUGUACUCCAGAGUUGUAAUGUGUAUACAGGUCACUUUCGCUGUGUCUCAUCAGGUAUCCACCUCUCCUGCAUUUACUAGUCAGUUUUUUAAGAGUUCAUGUUUCCUGUGUGAGCUGAAGGGGCUGGGCACAUUUCAAUUUAAAAAAUACACACCUCCGAUUAACUAAAUGGAAGUUUUUUACAUCUACCAACAGAUAAAGAAAAGAGAGGAUAAUGGGAAGACAAAACAUUGUAUUAAGGUAGAAGGAAGCUGGAUAAAUUGUCUCUGUAAAUUAUCUUAAAUUUUGUAUUAACAAAUUUAAAAUGACUCAAAUAAAAUAACAAAGAAAAAUAUAUUAAUUUGGCCUCAAGGAAUUUUCUCAAGCCAUAAAAAAUUUUCUUAGUUUAUUUCUUUACGGAAGUAUCUUAUGCUUGAUCAGCUGACUUAAAGGAACUCUCCUAGUGUGGGACUGAAAACAACUUUAUCAUUGAUAAAAGAUGAUUAGUUUAAAAAGUUGGUUUUUAUUAUUGAAGUGCCCACAGGCACAAGAGUAUAGGUGCUUACAUUUCCCUUUAGAUUAUGGGAAAGCCCUUUUGAGAAUGCACUAAAUCAGGAAAUCUUUCAGCAAUCAGAAUGCAUGCUGAAAGUUCAGAUCUUUUAAGUUUUGGGUUUCGCUGUUUGAGCAUAAAAAGGAAGGGAGCAGGGAGAAAUGUAACUAGGUUCACAAUUUUGAGCAAGAGCAUAUGUAAAGGUAACGUAUGUACAUUUUAUUUCAAGAAAGACAGAAGACAAACAGCAUAAAGAUGCCCAGAUGCCCUAAAGAUAAAUACAUUUCAAAGAUUCUCAUUAAAAUGAAUCUGUAGUAUUUUUUUCCUGCAAGCAAAAUACCUUUCUUUAAAUAAAAUUAAAAAAAUCAGUAUUCUGAAUUGCAAAUGCUUUUGUUUUUUUUUUGCAGAAAAUCUGCCAUGAUUAUUUUUUUAAUGAAUAAGGAUUUUCCACAAAACAGGCUUGCUCUACAUGCUAGAUUUUUAAACAGUUCAGUGACACAAUAUGCUAACUACAUACACAACAGAUAAUAUAGUAAGAAAACACUCAACCUGAUGAAAAGUUAAAAUCUUCAUUAAUACACUGAAAAUUGACAUAACUCAUGCCUUUAAAAUCAAAAAUACAAAAAUU
Molecule: long non-coding RNA, 2700 nt
Filed under: Homo sapiens (human)
Lineage: Eukaryota; Metazoa; Chordata; Mammalia; Primates; Hominidae
Description: PREDICTED lncRNA (TCONS_00088404)
Source: RNAcentral